UUCAAGCUUCGGCUGGAUUGGUGUACGCUGAUGGUCUGCUAAGAAUUCUGCUGAGUUGAAGGGAUCCUCCUGUCAGACAACCUCUCCAAAGUACAAUAGGACUAGGUUCCCACUACAAGGAUUAGAUUUGGCUACUGCAGUCCCGGUUUGGGCCAGCCUCAC
Non-coding RNA from Danio rerio (zebrafish), 162 nucleotides. The record is from RefSeq and is a predicted model, not a curated record. NCBI's taxonomy places the organism in Eukaryota, Metazoa, Chordata, Actinopteri, Cypriniformes, Danionidae.